AGUCACAUGUCCAAGCUAGCAAGUAACAGAGACAAGAAACUAAGGCAGAACUGCCUGACUUAGCAGCUCCCAUGUAAUUGCAGAGUUAUAAUGCUCAUUUGGAAGUUAUUGAAAACAACUGAGCUAAGUCUAAAAAAAUGGAGAAAGCCAGAUUCGUUCAUUACAGUGUUCAAUAAAGGUUUUAAAGAAGCACGGGUGGAACUCCUUUCAGCAAUGAAUUUGAGUCUAGAUGGAGAAUGAGAAAAGGUAGCACACAAAGUGACUUGCUAAUGCACAACAGCCUCAAGGAAGCUAAAAGUUUGAGAAUCAGCUUAGAAGUUUCUAUGUGAAGAGAAAACAGGAAGUCAUUCCAGCAGCAGCAGCCGCCUCUGCUCCACUCUUCGUCUUGCUCACACUCCAUGCUGCCAAAUGGAAACUAAGGUGUUCAGGGAAUGGGGCAUACUUCCACAAAUUCCAUUUUAAAAUGGAUUGAUCAAGAAGUCCUUCCUCGGGUUAACCCUUACAUGGUGUUAAGAAGAAUUUCACCAAGUGGAUCUCAUUAUUGCAGACCCAUUGAGAUUGGAAGCUUCCUUCCACAAAGGAGCAAUGCACUGUUAUGUGAAGACUGGUGGAUCUCUAGUCGGCUGCAGCUGAGAUACAGAAAGCAUGGUAAUAAGUGCAUAAUAGAUCAGCAAUUGGAAAUACUUCUUUCUUGACGUUAUACACCGUGUGUGUGUGUGUGUGUGUGUGUGUGUGUGUGUGUGUGUGUGUGUGUGUGUGUGUCUAUAUGUGGUGUGUGUGUGUUUGUGUGUGUGUAUUUAUAUUCAAUGUUCAUCUACUAAGGACAAGUUAACUGCCUCAAAUUGUCUCUGUGGCUGACAUCUGACAAUAAGAACAUUAAAUUCUUGUUUAUUUGGAGUUCACACAAAAGCCUGUACAUUUUGUUUUAUUUGUAAAUAGCAGGCUCACUACAUAUCCCUUACACUUACAUAUUUUGUGCCACCAUCAGAGAGAAAGAGAAAGCAUAAAAGUACUCAAUGUGUCAUAGACACAGUCAUUAUUUCUAGUCCAUGUUGAAAAUUACCAGAGUCAACAAGGAUAUUGAAAUCUUUAAAUUAAAGCCCCAAGAUAAAUCAGCAUUAAUAAGCAUUGCUUUCCUGUAGAUGUGAUGCUGAAAAUCUAUCAAAUGUGAAACUAGAACCAAAUAUGCUGUGGAGUUAAAUUUAAUGCAUCCUAAGAAUUCUGUCUGAGGCAGACACACUGCUUUUGUUUCUGAUACCACUUCAUUAUAAUUAGAACUGUCUGAAAACACCAGUUCUCAAAGUAGGGGAUUGUUAAUGCUGUGAGUUGAUUUUGAUAACUGUUAAUGAUUUUUUUCAGCUGAAGGUGUUUCUGAGAUAAAAGAUGUUUUUAUUUUAUUUUCAUUAUUUUCUUUAAACACAGAACUUAUAAAUCCUGAUGAUUUGGGGGAUCUAUUGGCAUACAACAAUUUUGUCCUUAUAAAGAAAAGCAUCAAAGUAGAAGAACUUGAUUACAGUAUCAGAGACUUGGUGUGCUAUCAUCAUGGUAGAAAGCAUGGGGGCACAUAGGCAGACAUGGUGCUGGAGGAGCUGAGAGUUUUACAUAUGAAUCUGCAGACAACAAGAAGAGAGAGACACUGGGCCUGGCUUGGGUCCUUAAGCCUUAGAGACAUACUUCCUCCAAUUGGCCACACCUCCUAAUCCCUGUAAGUAGCAAUAACCCCUAGUGAUCAAUCAUUUAAAUCAUGAGCUCAGGAGCCAUUUUUUAAACUACAUCAUCAAUAUAAACAACUGCACAGUAUACUUAUUUUUCUAGGAGUGUGUUUUACUCAGGAUGAUUUUUUUUCUAGUUUCAUCCAUUUGCCUGCAAAAUUCAUGUCAUUUUUAAAAUUAUUUAUUCUUUCAUAUAAGAUUUCCUUCCUUCUUGUCUCAAGUCCUCCCCUGAAAGCACUCUCUCUACCAAGAUCCACUCCUCUUCUGGUUCCCUUUAGAAAAGAACAGGCCUCCCAGGAAUAUCAACCAAACAUAGCAUAUCAAGUUACAAUAAGACUAGGCCCAUUUCCUCCUAUUAAAGGUGGACAAGGCAAUCCGGUAGGAGAAAAGGUUUGCAAAAUCAGGGAAAAGAAUCAGAGAUAGCCCCUGCUCUCAUUUUUAUAUAGCCCACAAGGCCACCAAUCUACACAAAGACAUCAUAUGCAGAGGACCUAGGUCAGACCCAUACAGGCACCCUAAUUGUUGGUUCAACCUUUGUGAGCCCUUCUGAGCCCUGGUUAGUUGAUUCUGGGGACCAUUUUCUUGGGCACACAAUAUUUUUGAACAAAUUUUCUCUAGUUACAAUUUUGUAGGUUGUAUUUUGUCUCCCAAUCUGUUAGAAUAUUUUGGACUUUUGUGAAAUUCACUGCCAGCAAUUUAUUUCAUAAAAAGUUUCCUGUGUGUUCAGAAUGUUCGGUAUAGUUUUCAGUAAUUUAUGAUCAAUUCAUUCCAAAGCAUUCAUUGGUUUUAUCCACCUGUCUAUUUUUCCUUUUAUUAAUUCAUAAUAAAAUAAAAUCAGCUAUAUCUGUAGUUUUCUUAUGACAUAACCAGAACCUAGUAAGCAUUCCUGUAGGCAUUGAUUUUUAGCCAUUCAAUCAAUUUUAAUAAUCCACUGUGGAGAGAUGGGUGUGGUGCUGAAAUGCCCACUAAAACCCAUUAGCUUCCCAUGCAAGAAAUAUUUUCUGGGAAUGGAUCAGUUAUAGAAAUACAGACAACUAGGGAGGGAGUUGUGUUUCCCCUUUACCUAUGAAAUCAAAGCCCAUCCAAGUGUUAUGCCUUUUCAAAAUGCUUCUUGUCAGUAACAUGUUUCCUUUGUUUCAAAACCUAAGAGCUCAAUGAUCUAAGAAAACCUGUACAGCUUUCAGAGUAAAACUUUCACAUUGUGUGCAGUCUCUCAUCUCUAUAGUCUCUCUAAUAAGAAGGUCUGUACCCUGUGAGCUGGUGAAGUCAGUUUUUACUGGUGUCUACAAGACCGUGGGAAUCUACCUAACACCGCUGAGUCUGGAUGGUGUCAUCUGUAGUAAGCAAUGCACACAUCUGAGAAUACAGACCUGGAGGUCCAAGGCUUAAGGAUGCUCUGCUGGUGAGCCUGAAACCCAACCCGCCAGGACAAGUUGCUAGCUGUUUGCUGAAUGUGUAUCAUUACUCUUUCUGCAUGGGUAUUUAAGUUAUACAUCUUGAACGUGAUUUGUCUUAAAAUGGUUCUUAAUAAUAUAUGUUAUUAAUUAUAUGUUAUUUUGGAAUCAGAAAAGCCUCUAUGAAUUCAUACCUGUCCUUUAGUAUCUAGACAUAACAGCCUUUCUGACUCCUUAAAACUUGCUGUGCUUUGAACAUAACCUUUCAAAAUUCAAGUAUUGAGAAUGAGAUCGCUGUAAUGGUUGGUGACUUUAAAGAUCGACUUAACCUUUUUGAUUAAACACUGGACCCUCUGAGGCAGGCACAGAAUAAUUUUGAAAUCACUAUAUAGCAGAAGAGGACUUGGAACUUCUUGUCCUCCUGUCUCCUCUCCUAGGUGCUGGGGUUCUAGGCAUGUGCCACCACACAGAACUCCUCAUUCACUUUUAUUGUUAACUUUUAUUUGUCAUAAAAAUGUCUUCUGUUCAAAGUGUGGUUUUUAAAGCCAGGUAUUAUGCUAGUCACCCAGUUCCCAAUGUAAUGGUAGUCCUGAGCCACAUCCUGGCUGCAGCAUAAUAAGCAACCGUCUUUAAUUCCUUAAUUAUUUUCUCUCAGAUUCGUACAUUUCAAUUGUUUAUUGCCUUUAAUAUUGCCUAUUGCCUUCCCUCUGUUGUGAUCUGACAUGUGGAGCAGGCAACUCAUUCCAAAGUUCAUUUCUAAAAUAUUCCCUCCAUGGCUUGUGCAAAAAUAAGUAAUGCAGAUGAAUAUUACUAAUGAAAAUAUUGGUCUGAAAAUACUGCAUACUAUGUAAUUCCAAUAUUCUGGCAAAAACGAUUGAUCCACUAAAGAAGCAAUAGAAAUGAAGAUUUUAAAAGGGCAUGACUUAGUGAGCUGUCUCAGAGGUAAAGUUUUCUUUACACGUCUGAAGACCUGGGUUAGAUUCUCUGGCCCCAUGUUGUGAACUAAAAGAAAACUCUGACCUCCAUAUCCAUAUCUGUACACCUAUGCAAACACAAGUGUGCAUGCAUGCAUAUUCAUAUAUAUAUCAUCUAAGGUUCAUUGCUACAGCCUACAUAGAGCACCGAGGAUUUACGGGUGUGGUAUGUGCUGCUGUAAUGGAGGGUAGAUAUAUUCCCUACAUUUAAAGCCUGCACAACUCCAAGAGCCACUCAUUGUGAGCUACACACUUAUUAUGACAAUCAGGUGAAUAUAUUGACAUCUGUUCUAACAAACAUAACAUUUAUUAUACCGCUUAUAGAGUUUGGGAAUUUAAUGAGGGAGGGUAUUUAUAUGUAGGGGCAAGAGAAAUUUUGUUGUGGUCAAUUAUGUAGCAAAUAUAACAAUCCUUUUGGUGAUGUCUGUUUAGAAGAAAUAAACUAUAAUUGCUA
Mus musculus (house mouse) is the source of this 4534-nucleotide long non-coding RNA. RefSeq annotates it as predicted gene, 30620. The transcript has 5 exons. The record is from RefSeq and is a predicted model, not a curated record. NCBI's taxonomy places the organism in Eukaryota, Metazoa, Chordata, Mammalia, Rodentia, Muridae.